UGUCGCAAGACACUUGUAAAGUGGCGAACGGGUGAGGAAUACAUGGGUGACCUACCCUCGAGUGGGGAAUAACCAGCCGAAAGGUUGGCUAAUACCGCGUACGCUUCACGGUUUGCGGAUCGGGAAGGAAAGCGAUGCCAUGGGUAUCGCGCUCAAGGAUGGGCUCAUGUCCUAUCAGCUUGUUGGUGAGGUAAUGGCUCACCAAGGCUUCGACGGGUAGCUGGUCUGAGAGGACGAUCAGCCACACUGGCACUGCGACACGGGCCAGACUCCUACGGGAGGCAGCAGUAAGGAAUAUUGCGCAAUGGGCGACAGCCUGACGCAGCGACGCCGCGUGGGGGAUGAAGGUCUUCGGAUUGUAAACCCCUUUCGGGAGGGAAGAUGGAACGGGCAACCGUUCGGACGGUACCUCCAGAAGCAGCCACGGCUAACUUCGUGCCAGCAGCCGCGGUAAUACGAAGGUGGCAAGCGUUGUUCGGAUUUACUGGGCGUACAGGGAGCGUAGGCGGUUGGGUAAGCCCUCCGUGAAAUCUCCGGGCCUAACCCGGAAAGUGCGGAGGGGACUGCUCGGCUAGAGGAUGGGAGAGGAGCGCGGAAUUCCCGGUGUAGCGGUGAAAUGCGUAGAGAUCGGGAGGAAGGCCGGUGGCGAAGGCGGCGCUCUGGAACAUUUCUGACGCUGAGGCUCGAAAGCGUGGGGAGCAAACAGGAUUAGAUGCCCUGGUAGUCCACGCCGUAAACGAUGGGCACUAGGUGUUCGGGGUAUUGACCCCCUGAGUGCCGCAGCUAACGCAUUAAGUGCCCCGCCUGGGGACUACGGCCGCAAGGCUAAAACUCAAAAGGAAUUGACGGGGGGCCCGCACAAGCGGUGGAGCAUGUGGUUUAAUUCGACGCAACGCCGAAGAACCUUACCUGGGCUCGAAAUGCUAGUGCCAUCCCAUGAAAAGUGGGGCUUCUCGCAAGAGACGCUAAGUAUAAGGUGCUGCAUGGGUUGCCGCCAGCUCCGUGUCGUGAGAAUGUUGGGGUUAAGUCCCCGCAACCAAGCCGCAACCCUUUGCCUUUUAGUUUGCCAUCCGGGGUCAAGCCCGGGCACUCCUAAAAGGGACGUUCCAGGGGGUUACCCACCUUGGCUACAAUUGGGUCGCCCACAGAAGGGCGGAAACCCCCCAAGGGCGGAAAAACAAUCCCCCUAAAAAACGGACCCUCAUUUUCUGAAAUCAGAAAGGUGCGAAACUCCGCCCUUCCUUGGAAAACCGGGAGAUUUGGCUAAGGAAUACCCGUUAUUUCACACCACAAACCCGGGGGAAAAUUCACGGGCGCGGGGGUUGGUUUGUCCUCGACCCCACGACACCAAAGCGAAAUUUUCCCUU
RNAcentral lists this ribosomal RNA (1367 nucleotides) under uncultured bacterium. RNAcentral's name for it is "bacterial SSU rRNA". It matches the Rfam family "Bacterial small subunit ribosomal RNA", at positions 75 to 1163 of the family's 1533-position model. The record is from RNAcentral.